Molecule: ribosomal RNA, 674 nt
Filed under: Salmonella enterica
Lineage: Bacteria; Pseudomonadati; Pseudomonadota; Gammaproteobacteria; Enterobacterales; Enterobacteriaceae
Also listed under: 3 other names
Description: bacterial SSU rRNA
Rfam family: Bacterial small subunit ribosomal RNA
Source: RNAcentral
CCGCCUGGGGAGUACGGCCGCAAGGUUAAAACUCAAAUGAAUUGACGGGGGCCCGCACAAGCGGUGGAGCAUGUGGUUUAAUUCGAUGCAACGCGAAGAACCUUACCUGGUCUUGACAUCCACAGAAGAAUCCAGAGAUGGAUUUGUGCCUUCGGGAACUGUGAGACAGGUGCUGCAUGGCUGUCGUCAGCUCGUGUUGUGAAAUGUUGGGUUAAGUCCCGCAACGAGCGCAACCCUUAUCCUUUGUUGCCAGCGGUUAGGCCGGGAACUCAAAGGAGACUGCCAGUGAUAAACUGGAGGAAGGUGGGGAUGACGUCAAGUCAUCAUGGCCCUUACGACCAGGGCUACACACGUGCUACAAUGGCGCAUACAAAGAGAAGCGACCUCGCGAGAGCAAGCGGACCUCAUAAAGUGCGUCGUAGUCCGGAUUGGAGUCUGCAACUCGACUCCAUGAAGUCGGAAUCGCUAGUAAUCGUGGAUCAGAAUGCCACGGUGAAUACGUUCCCGGGCCUUGUACACACCGCCCGUCACACCAUGGGAGUGGGUUGCAAAAGAAGUAGGUAGCUUAACCUUCGGGAGGGCGCUUACCACUUUGUGAUUCAUGACUGGGGUGAAGUCGUAACAAGGUAACCGUAGGGGAACCUGCGGUUGGAUCACCUCCUUACCUUAAAGAA